RNAcentral lists this ribosomal RNA (476 nucleotides) under uncultured bacterium. RNAcentral's name for it is "bacterial SSU rRNA". It matches the Rfam family "Bacterial small subunit ribosomal RNA", at positions 28 to 507 of the family's 1533-position model. The record is from RNAcentral.
GACGAACGCUGGCGGCGUGCCUAAUACAUGCAAGUCGAGCGGGGAUUAUGCUUGAUCGCUUCGGUGAGACGGCAUAUAUCCUAGCGGCGGACGGGUGAGUAACGCGUGGGUAAUCUACCUCGUAGUUCGGGAUAACAGGCCGAAAGGCUUGCUAAUACCGGAUGAGUUCAUGCUUAUGCAUAUAGGCAUGAAGAAAGGGCUAGCCCGCUAUGAGAUGAGCCCGCGUCCCAUUAGCUUGUUGGUGGGGUAAUGGCCUACCAAGGCAACGAUGGGUAGCCGGCCUGAGAGGGUGUACGGCCACACUGGGACUGAGACACGGCCCAGACUCCUACGGGGGCAGCAGUAGGGAAUUUUCGGCAAUGGGCGAAAGCCUGACCGAGCGACGCCGCGUGAGGGACGAAGGCCUUCGGGUUGUAAACCUCUGUCUGGGGGAUGAGAACGGACGGUACCCCGGAGGAAGCCCGGCUAACUACGUG